RNAcentral lists this ribosomal RNA (908 nucleotides) under Clostridioides difficile. RNAcentral's name for it is "bacterial LSU rRNA". It matches the Rfam family "Bacterial large subunit ribosomal RNA", at positions 2015 to 2925 of the family's 2925-position model. The record is from RNAcentral. Lineage: Bacteria; Bacillati; Bacillota; Clostridia; Peptostreptococcales; Peptostreptococcaceae.
ACUGUCUCAACAACAGACUCGGUGAAAUUGUAAUUCCGGUGAAGAUGCCGGAUACCUGCGACAGGACGGAAAGACCCCAUGGAGCUUUACUGUAGCUUGACAUUGGGUCUUGGUACUACAUGUACAGGAUAGGUGGGAGGCUUUGAAACCAGGACGCCAGUUUUGGCGGAGCCAUCCUUGGGAUACCACCCUUGUAGUACUGGGACUCUAACCAUAGGCCAUGAAUCUGGUCUUGGGACACUGUCAGGUGGGCAGUUUGACUGGGGCGGUCGCCUCCCAAAAGGUAACGGAGGCGCUCAAAGGUUCUCUCAGUACGGUCGGAAAUCGUACGUAGAGUGUAAAGGCAAAAGAGAGCUUGAUUGCAAGACAUACAGGUCGAGCAAGGAUGAAAAUCGGACUUAGUGAUCCGGUGGUUCUGCGUGGAAGGGCCAUCGCUCAACGGAUAAAAGCUACCCUGGGGAUAACAGGCUUAUCUCCCCCAAGAGUCCACAUCGACGGGGAGGUUUGGCACCUCGAUGUCGGCUCAUCACAUCCUGGGGCUGUAGUAGGUCCCAAGGGUUGGGCUGUUCGCCCAUUAAAGUGGUACGCGAGCUGGGUUCAGAACGUCGUGAGACAGUUCGGUCCCUAUCCGUCGCAGGCGUAGGAAAUUUGAGAAGACCUGUCCUUAGUACGAGAGGACCGGGAUGGACGUACCUCUGGUGUACCAGUUGUUCUGCCAAGGGCAUGGCUGGGUAGCUAUGUACGGAAUGGAUAAGCGCUGAAAGCAUCUAAGCGCGAAGCCAACUUCAAGAUAAGAUUUCCCACCGCAAGGGUAAGACCCCAGAAAGACUAUCUGGUUGAUAGGUCGAAGGUGUAAGUGCAGCAAUGUAUUUAGCUUAUCGAUACUAAUAGGUCGAGGACUUGACCAA